This is an RNA transcript of Vigna radiata var. radiata (mung bean), 1717 nucleotides long. It is a transcript of the gene named carbon catabolite repressor protein 4 homolog 4, with no coding region annotated. The transcript has 12 exons. The record is from RefSeq and is a predicted model, not a curated record. Lineage: Eukaryota; Viridiplantae; Streptophyta; Magnoliopsida; Fabales; Fabaceae.
UCAAGAAAAGCGCCGCCACAUUGUUCCUAUCGCUGCUGAGAUGCUGAAAGCAUUGGGUGCACGUGCAGUGCUAUGCUCGAACUCUUCUUCUUCCACUAGUGUUGUAAGGAAGAUGAGUUCUGCGCCGGCAUCUCGCAAGUUCGUUUCCGUGGAAGGCUCAGACAUACAUUCCAGAAGUAAACCUGAUGGCUUCAGAUUCAGUCUUGUUUCGUAUAACAUAUUGGCGCAGGUUUAUGUGAAGAGCUCGUCGUUCCCGCAUUCUCCAUCUUCGUCUCUCAAAUGGAAACCUCGUUCAAACACAAUUUUGGAAGUUCUCAAGGACUUGGGAGCUGACUUUUUCUGCCUGCAGGAAGUUGAUGAAUUUGAAAGCUUUUACAAAGGAAACAUGCAGAAUUUAGGAUAUUCUUCGAUUUAUAUGAAGAGAAGUGGUCAAAAGCGUGAUGGGUGUGGCUUAUUUUACAAGCAUGACUGUGCAGAGUUGCUCUUAGAGGAGAAAAUUGAAUACAAUGAUCUUGUAAAGUCCAUUCCAGAUGGGAACUCUUCAAACGAUGAUGAUCACACCAAUAUUCAGACUGUCCAUGCUGAUAAACAAAAGGACGUGGAGCCCAAAAAUGGUUCUAAAUCGAAUACAGAAGAUCGUGGAGAUCCCAAUGACCCCCGUGUGAGACUUAAGCGUGAUUGUGUUGGAAUAAUGGCUGCAUUCAAAUUCAAAGAUCCCUCUCGUCAUAUUGUUAUUGUGGCCAACACACAUCUUUAUUGGGAUCCUGAAUGGGCGGAUGUCAAGCUUGCACAAGCUAAAUAUCUUCUAUUCCGCCUGGCAAAAUUUAAAACACUGGUCUCAGAUAGAUAUGAAUGCAUACCUGAAGUCAUUGUGGCUGGUGACUUCAAUUCUCAGCCAGGAGACACGGUCUACCAGUACCUUGUAUCCGGAAAUCCUUCAUCAAACCUGAUGCUGAACUGUUUAGACGAGUCGCCUCCUAUUCCCUUAUGUAGUGUCUAUGCUUCUACAAGAGGAGAACCACCAUUUACAAACUACACACCUGGCUUCACUGGAACACUCGACUAUAUUUUAUUUUCCCCUUCUGAUCACAUUAAACCAAUUAGUUUUCUUGAGCUUCCAGACUCUGAUGCAGCCGAUAUUGUUGGUGGACUGCCAAACUUCAGUUAUCCCAGUGAUCAUCUACCAAUUGGUGCUGAGUUUGAAAUCAUCAAGGAGUAAAUAUUCUUCUAUGCCAGGGUGGAUGAGUGAAGGAAUGCUUGGAGGAGAAAAGUUAGGAGAUAUAUUUUUGAAAGGAAUUUUGAAAUUUCAGAUGUUCCAUAGCUAAUUUGCUUUGUUGUAUAUAAUCGUUGGACGGCUCUCAUCUGUCUAUUCGCGUGAUGGUUAGCACAGUGUACUGUUAUCACCAAUGGCAUAGAUUGCAGCAGGGCCCUUACAAAUUGACACCAACAGUUAUAAUUGGCUCGUUUCGUUUGGGACCACAAACAUUGCAAGUUGCAAGUUGGGGAGAGGGCGUUGUAGGUUUUUUGUUCUCAGUUUUCAUGUUUUUAAGGUUGGUUAAAUUUAACCACUCAUGUUGCUUCGUGUCAAUUAAGGUAAACUACACAAUCUGAAGUGUGAGUAGUUAUUCUUCAGAUAGCUUCAUUCUAAAAUGCUUAGAUUUAAUGCCAAAUGAAAUCAUCAUGACUUUCUUUGAGGAAAGUUCAUAUCUUUAAAAAA